GAGUUUGAUUAUGGCUCAGGACGAACGCUGGCGGCGUGCGUAACACAUGCAAGUUGAACGACGGUGUCAUGAAGUGGUAACACGGAAUGGCAUACGGAGUAGCGGACGGGUGAGUACAACAUGAGAAGCUGUCCAAUAGUGGGGGAUAACGUUCGGAAACGGACCCUAAUACCCCAUAGGCCUUUUGGUUAAAGCAGCGAUGCGCUAUUGGAGGUGCUCGUGUCCUAUCAGCUGGUUGGUGAGGUAACGGCUCACCAAGGCGACGACGGGUAGCCGGCCUGAGAGGGUGUCCGGCCACACUGGAACUGAGAUACGGUCCAGACUCCUAUGGGAGGCAGCAGUGGGGAAUAUUGGGCAAUGGGAGAAAUCCUGACCCAGCGACGCCGCGUGAACGAAGAAGGCCUUCGGGUCGUAAAGUUCUUUUAUGU
This 428-nucleotide ribosomal RNA is filed under the name Synergistales bacterium canine oral taxon 178. RNAcentral's name for it is "bacterial SSU rRNA". It matches the Rfam family "Bacterial small subunit ribosomal RNA", at positions 9 to 441 of the family's 1533-position model. Lineage: Bacteria; Thermotogati; Synergistota; Synergistia; Synergistales. The record is from RNAcentral.